RNAcentral lists this ribosomal RNA (1372 nucleotides) under uncultured bacterium. Its description in RNAcentral is "bacterial SSU rRNA". It matches the Rfam family "Bacterial small subunit ribosomal RNA", at positions 28 to 1381 of the family's 1533-position model. The record is from RNAcentral.
GAUGAACGCUGGCGGCGUGCCUAAUACAUGCAAGUCGAGCGAACGGACGAGAAGCUUGCUUUUCUGAUGUUAGCGGCGGACGGGUGAGUAACACGUGGAUAACCUACCUAUAAGACUGGGAUAACUUCGGGAAACCGGAGCUAAUACCGGAUAAUAUUUUGAACCGCAUGGUUCAAAAGUGAAAGACGGUCUUGCUGUCACUUAUAGAUGGAUCCGCGCUGCAUUAGCUAGUUGGUAAGGUAACGGCUUACCAAGGCAACGAUGCAUAGCCGACCUGAGAGGGUGAUCGGCCACACUGGAACUGAGACACGGUCCAGACUCCUACGGGAGGCAGCAGUAGGGAAUCUUCCGCAAUGGGCGAAAGCCUGACGGAGCAACGCCGCGUGAGUGAUGAAGGUCUUCGGAUCGUAAAACUCUGUUAUUAGGGAAGAACAUAUGUGUAAGUAACUGUGCACAUCUUGACGGUACCUAAUCAGAAAGCCACGGCUAACUACGUGCCAGCAGCCGCGGUAAUACGUAGGUGGCAAGCGUUAUCCGGAAUUAUUGGGCGUAAAGCGCGCGUAGGCGGUUUUUUAAGUCUGAUGUGAAAGCCCACGGCUCAACCGUGGAGGGUCAUUGGAAACUGGAAAACUUGAGUGCAGAAGAGGAAAGUGGAAUUCCAUGUGUAGCGGUGAAAUGCGCAGAGAUGUGGAGGAACACCAGUGGCGAAGGCGACUUUCUGGUCUGUAACUGACGCUGAUGUGCGAAAGCGUGGGGAUCAAACAGGAUUAGAUACCCUGGUAGUCCACGCCGUAAACGAUGAGUGCUAAGUGUUAGGGGGUUUCCGCCCCUUAGUGCUGCAGCUAACGCAUUAAGCACUCCGCCUGGGGAGUACGACCGCAAGGUUGAAACUCAAAGGAAUUGACGGGGGCCCGCACAAGCGGUGGAGCAUGUGGUUUAAUUCGAAGCAACGCGAAGAACCUUACCAAAUCUUGACAUCCUUUGACAACUCUAGAGAUAGAGCCUUCCCCUUCGGGGGACAAAGUGACAGGUGGUGCAUGGUUGUCGUCAGCUCGUGUCGUGAGAUGUUGGGUUAAGUCCCGCAACGAGCGCAACCCUUAAGCUUAGUUGCCAUCAUUAAGUUGGGCACUCUAAGUUGACUGCCGGUGACAAACCGGAGGAAGGUGGGGAUGACGUCAAAUCAUCAUGCCCCUUAUGAUUUGGGCUACACACGUGCUACAAUGGACAAUACAAAGGGCAGCGAAACCGCGAGGUCAAGCAAAUCCCAUAAAGUUGUUCUCAGUUCGGAUUGUAGUCUGCAACUCGACUACAUGAAGCUGGAAUCGCCAGUAAUCGUAGAUCAGCAUGCUACGGUGAAUACGUUCCCGGGUCU